This 427-nucleotide ribosomal RNA is filed under the name uncultured bacterium. RNAcentral describes it as "bacterial SSU rRNA". It matches the Rfam family "Bacterial small subunit ribosomal RNA", at positions 355 to 774 of the family's 1533-position model. The record is from RNAcentral.
UGGGGAAUUUUGGACAAUGGGCGCAAGCCUGAUCCAGCAAUGCCGCGUGCAGGACGAAGGCCUUCGGGUUGUAAACUGCUUUUGUACGGAACGAAACGGCUCUGUCUAAUACAUGGGGCUAAUGACGGUACCGUAAGAAUAAGCACCGGCUAACUACGUGCCAGCAGCCGCGGUAAUACGUAGGGUGCAAGCGUUAAUCGGGAUUACUGGGCGUAAAGCGUGCGCAGGCGGUUAUGCAAGACAGAUGUGAAAUCCCCGGGCUCAACCUGGGAACUGCAUUUGUGACUGCAUAGCUGGAGUGCGGCAGAGGGGGGUAGAAUUCCACGUGUAGCAGUGAAAUGCGUAGAUAUGUGGAGGAACACCGAUGGCGAAGGCAAUCCCCUGGGCCUGUACUGACGCUCAUGCACGAAAGCGUGGGGAGCAAACA